UCCCCGUUACCGGGGCAGUCUGAUUAGAAAAAUACAACUAAUCAUAGGGGUUGCGCUCGUUAAUGGACUUAACCAAACAUCUCACGACACGAGCUGACGACGGCCAUGCAACACCUGUCACUGAGUUCCGGCUCUCAACACACAAUCUAACGAUUAUGCGCUCAGAGCCGGCACUCACUGCUUUCGCAGUAAUUCCCAGGAUGUCAAGCCCUGGUAAGGUUCUUCGCUUACCAUCGAAUUAAACAACACGCUCCACUGCUUGUGCGGCUCCCCGUCAAUUCCUUUGAGUUUUAGUCUUGCGACCGUACUCCCCAGGCGGGAUGCUUAACGCGUUAGCUUCGCAACGAACCGGGUCGAUACGGCUCACUGCUAGCAUCCAUAGUUUACGGCGUGGACUAC
This 399-nucleotide unclassified non-coding RNA is filed under the name uncultured bacterium. Its description in RNAcentral is "contains 16S-23S intergenic spacer region". The record is from RNAcentral.